Molecule: long non-coding RNA, 1150 nt
Organism: Erinaceus europaeus (western European hedgehog)
Lineage: Eukaryota; Metazoa; Chordata; Mammalia; Eulipotyphla; Erinaceidae
Exons: 3
Source: RefSeq, a predicted model, not a curated record
AACCAGUUUUAAGGACCAGGAUGAUAGUUUACUGGGUGGGACACACACUUUGCCAUGUGCUCAGUCCAGGUUCAAGCCCCAGCAGGCACCAUGUGGCACUGGGAGAACCUCCAGUUCUGUGGUGCCAUUCUCUUUCUCUGUCUCUUAACCUGAAUGAAAGAAUUGGCCUGGGAGUUGUGGAAUCGUGUGAUUUUGGGUUAAUGUUGGCCUUCCUCCCCUUCAACUGGCAGUGACUUUCCUUCACAUUUCUCACUCUUUUGUCCUUUCUUUUUUCAGAAUCUAUACUCAUAUUACCUACAUAUAUAUUUAUAUACACAAAAAUUUUUUUUUCUUCAGUGUAAUCAAGUCUGUUAUUAAAGCUUAUUCUAUCGUAUUGAUUUCAGGAUUUGUUUGGUUUCUUAUAUAUCUGGGGCGUAUGCAUGCAUGAUUACACUGCUAACAUGCUGCUUUUUAUUUCAGGUAGGCAGAUAAAAGGAAAGAGACAGAAAGGAGUAGAGAAGACGGAGAGAUGCAACACUGCAUCAUUAUCCAUGGAACUUCCGUUCGUGCCAUGGUAAUCCCAUAUGCCAGGAUUUGUGCCCUACCAUCACUCUUUUGCUUUACUUUUUGUUCCUCUAACUUGUGCAAUUUUAUUACUCCCAGGCUUUUUAUUUUAUUUUUUUUUCCAUUCUUUUGAUUUCAGAUAGGGAGUGAUGGAAAAGAAGGGACACUAUGGCACCCUUCCACUACAUCUGGAGCUCCACUUGGUGCCAUCCAUGGGACUUUGAUGAAGUGUCUCCCACACUUGAAAUGAAGACUUAAAUUCAAGUCCUUAUUAAUGAGCAAGGAUACACUCUACCAGUCUAUAGGUCUCCUACCUCUGGGACAAUCACAGCUGUUGCCUGGAACUUGUGGAACACCACUGAGCCUCACAGAAACUAAAAACAUGGAGUUGGGAAUACAUCAAAAACCAUUUCUUCAUCUAGGCUGGUGUAUACUCCAUGAAGAUUCUUAUCCAUGCACACCAGGAUGCUACAAGGAAAAUCUCGGGGCCAGGGGUCAGGUGGUGGCACACCUAGUUGACUGAGCAUGUUAUAAUGCAUGAUGACCCAGGCUUGAUUCCCAGUCACCAUCUGCAGAGGCCAAAUUUUGCGAGUGAUGAAGCAGGACU